CCUACGGGAGGCAGCAGUGGGGAAUUUUGGACAAUGGGCGCAAGCCUGAUCCAGCCAUGCCGCGUGCGGGAAGAAGGCCUUCGGGUUGUAAACCGCUUUUGGCAGGGAAGAAAAGGUUCUGGCUAAUACCUGGUACUCAUGACGGUACCUGAAGAAUAAGCACCAGCUAACUACGUGCCAGCAGCCGCGGUAAUACGUAGGGUGCAAGCGUUAAUCGGAAUUACUGGGCGUAAAGCGUGCGCAGGCGCUUAUGCAAGACAGAGGUGAAAUCCCCGGGCUCAACCUGGGAACUGCCUUUGUGACUGCAUGGCUAGAGUACGGUAGAGGGGGAUGGAAUUCCGCGUGUAGCAGUGAAAUGCGUAGAUAUGCGGAGGAACACCGAUGGCGAAGGCAAUCCCCUGGACCUGUACUGACGCUCAUGCACGAAAGCGUGGGGAGCAAACAGGAUUAGAUACCCUGGUAGUC
This 465-nucleotide ribosomal RNA is filed under the name uncultured bacterium. Its description in RNAcentral is "partial 16S ribosomal RNA". It matches the Rfam family "Bacterial small subunit ribosomal RNA", at positions 338 to 795 of the family's 1533-position model. The record is from RNAcentral.